GAUGAACGCUGGCGGCGUGCCUAAUACAUGCAAGUCGAGCGAACAGAUGAGGAGCUUGCUCCUCUGACGUUAGCGGCGGACGGGUGAGUAACACGUGGAUAACCUACCUAUAAGACUGGGAUAACUUCGGGAAACCGGAGCUAAUACCGGAUAAUAUAUUGAACCGCAUGGUUCAAUAGUGAAAGACGGUUUUGCUGUCACUUAUAGAUGGAUCCGAGCCGCAUUGGCUAGUUGGUAGCGUAACGGCUUACCAAGGCGACGAUGCGUAGCCGACGUGAGAGCGGGAUCGGCCCCUGUGGAGCUGAGAGGCGAUACAGGCACCGACGUGAGGCAGCAGUAGGGAAUGUUGCGAAAUGGGCGGAAGCCUGACGGAGCAGCGGAGCGUGAGUGAUGAAGGGCUGCGGAUCGUAAAACGCUGUUCUUAGGGAAAAACAAAUGUGUAAGUAACGAUGCACGUCUUGACGGUACCGAUACAGAAAGCCACGGCUAACUACGU
Molecule: ribosomal RNA, 496 nt
Filed under: uncultured bacterium
Lineage: Bacteria
Description: partial 16S ribosomal RNA
Rfam family: Bacterial small subunit ribosomal RNA
Source: RNAcentral